This 1204-nucleotide long non-coding RNA is filed under the name Anas platyrhynchos platyrhynchos (common mallard). Its description in RNAcentral is "lncRNA (ENSAPLG00000021731.1)". Lineage: Eukaryota; Metazoa; Chordata; Aves; Anseriformes; Anatidae. The record is from RNAcentral.
AAAUAUUUUGGGCUUUUCAUUUCUGCACUUUCCUCACCCAGUCAGACUCAACCAUGGUGUGGAACCAGUAAGAAAUUUUGGUGGAUGGAAUGAAUAAUUAUUGUUGGAAGUGUUCUCUCACAUCUUUUUAAUUCCUAAGAUAAAUGAAAUAUUUAUAUAUUAUAUAUAAAAUCAUAUAUAUAUACAUUAUAUAGAAAUAUAUAUCUAAUAAUAAUAUUAUAUAUAAGGUAAGAGCUAUAAGCAAAUGGAAACUGUGACUUUAAUGUAUUUCUGAUAUAUUUUGUUCUUCCUAUAACAUCAUACAUGUGUGUUUUUUUUUCAGGUUCUGUGUCCUAUGCCAACAUGUUUGAGUGUUCAGUAAGAUGUGAAAACACUAAAUAAGCUACCAUUCUAUUGUUUUAUGAAAGAAAGUUGAAAAAAGUUUAUCAGAGUGCACACAGGUCUUCAGAGGUCUUUUUUUUUUUUUUUUUUUUACUCCUUCAAUUUGUUUAUAGUUUUGAUGAUUAUUUUGUAUUGCUGCGUGGAGUCAUAAUAGAAAAUGAUAAUUUAAAUAAUUCCCAUUCAAAUUCAAUAGUUCUAAAUUAAAAAAACAAAAACAAAAACAAAAACAACAUUCUGAUGUUUUCAACAUUAUUUAAAAUCUUUUUGUUACAUUAAUUUUACAUUAAUUUCAUUAGUUUAUUUGGAAAAAAAAAGUCUGAAAUUGAAAGUUUGACACUAAAAAGAAAAUCCAUAUUUUUACUUCCAUCUUUUCCAUCUCAUAGUUUAUAUAUAUAUAGUGUUUUUAAAACAGAUUGUUUGUAAAAUUUAAGUUUGAUCACAUGAAUAAUAUCAAUGGGAAACAACAACAACAACAAAAUCAGUCUAAACUAUUGUUACCAUUUCCAUUAUUAUUAUACCUAGUGAUUUGGUUUUGAAAAAAAAAAUAAUUUGGUAGCAUACAUGUUACUACUUUAUUGCAAAGUAAACAUAUUUUUACAUAAACCAUUAAAAUAUAUUAAUGGUUGACAGCAGAGAACACAAUCACUAAAAUUCUCAAAAAUUCUUCGAUAGUCUUCAACUGUAUUAACAUUUUAAGAUGUGAAAUAUAUUUGAAACACUAAUAAGAACAUAUUUAAUUAAAACAUCUCAGCUGAGCAGAAGUAACUUCCUUCUAGAGGGUAAUAUUAUCUUGCACCACCAUUUCUAGUAGUAUAUUAUAUGU